GGCGGCGUGCCUAAUACAUGCAAGUCGAGCGAAUGGAUUGAGAGCUUGCUCUCAAGAAGUUAGCGGCGGACGGGUGAGUAACACGUGGGUAACCUGCCCAUAAGACUGGGAUAACUCCGGGAAACCGGGGCUAAUACCGGAUAAUAUUUUGAACUGCAUGGUUCGAAAUUGAAAGGCGGCUUCGGCUGUCACUUAUGGAUGGACCCGCGUCGCAUUAGCUAGUUGGUGAGGUAACGGCUCACCAAGGCAACGAUGCGUAGCCGACCUGAGAGGGUGAUCGGCCACACUGGGACUGAGACACGGCCCAGACUCCUACGGGAGGCAGCAGUAGGGAAUCUUCCGCAAUGGACGAAAGUCUGACGGAGCAACGCCGCGUGAGUGA
RNAcentral lists this ribosomal RNA (382 nucleotides) under uncultured Bacillus sp. RNAcentral's name for it is "bacterial SSU rRNA". It matches the Rfam family "Bacterial small subunit ribosomal RNA", at positions 38 to 408 of the family's 1533-position model. The record is from RNAcentral. Lineage: Bacteria; Bacillati; Bacillota; Bacilli; Caryophanales; Bacillaceae.